UACGUAGGGAGCAAGCGUUGUCCGGAAUCAUUGGGCGUAAAGCGCGUGUAGGCGGUUUUAUAAGUCUGCUGUGAAAGUCGGAGGCUCAACCUUCGAAUGCCAGUAGAUACUGUAAGACUUGAGUACGGAAGAGGAGAGUGGAAUUCCUGGUGUAGCGGUGAAAUGCGCAGAUAUCAGGAGGAACACCAACGGCGAAGGCAGCUCUCUGGGACGUUACUGACGCUGAGACGCGAAAGCGUGGGGAGCAAACAGG
RNAcentral lists this ribosomal RNA (253 nucleotides) under uncultured bacterium. RNAcentral describes it as "partial 16S ribosomal RNA". It matches the Rfam family "Bacterial small subunit ribosomal RNA", at positions 524 to 776 of the family's 1533-position model. The record is from RNAcentral.